GAUGAACGCUGGCGGCGUGCUUAACACAUGCAAGUCGAACGGUGAACACGGAGCUUGCUCUGUGGGAUCAGUGGCGAACGGGUGAGUAACACGUGAGCAACCUGCCCCUGACUCUGGGAUAAGCGCUGGAAACGGCGUCUAAUACUGGAUAUGUGACGUGACCGCAUGGUCUGCGUUUGGAAAGAUUUUUCGGUUGGGGAUGGGCUCGCGGCCUAUCAGCUUGUUGGUGAGGUAAUGGCUCACCAAGGCGUCGACGGGUAGCCGGCCUGAGAGGGUGACCGGCCACACUGGGACUGAGAUACGGCCCAGACUCCUACGGGAGGCAGCAGUGGGGAAUAUUGCACAAUGGGCGCAAGCCUGAUGCAGCAACGCCGCGUGAGGGAUGACGGCCUUCGGGUUGUAAACCUCUUUUAGCAGGGAAGAAGCGAAAGUGACGGUACCUGCAGAAAAAGCGCCGGCUAACUACGUG
RNAcentral lists this ribosomal RNA (469 nucleotides) under uncultured bacterium. RNAcentral describes it as "partial 16S ribosomal RNA". It matches the Rfam family "Bacterial small subunit ribosomal RNA", at positions 28 to 507 of the family's 1533-position model. The record is from RNAcentral.